RNAcentral lists this long non-coding RNA (298 nucleotides) under Piliocolobus tephrosceles (Ugandan red Colobus). Its description in RNAcentral is "lncRNA (ENSPTEG00000024197.1)". The record is from RNAcentral. Lineage: Eukaryota; Metazoa; Chordata; Mammalia; Primates; Cercopithecidae.
AUGAAAAGCACGAUGUUUCCAUAUGAACCUAGCCAAAUUGAACUACCUCCAAGAGAAUGGCAAAAAUUAAUUAAAGAAAGAAUACAUGAACUAAAAAAGCAAAAACGUGCAAAUAAAGAGAUACACAUACGCAAGGAUAAACUGGAAAAGGGAAAAGACCGGAAAACAACAAUAUACUCCGAAGUUGACAAAAUAAAACGAGAUAAGGGAGAAAUGGCCAGGGUAGGAAGUCAUAAAUAUUAAAAAAAGGGUUAUCUAAUGUAAUAAAAUAAUUUAUACUAUUAUUGAAAUACUGUGU